GGUCAAGUUAUUAAGGGUGCAGGGCGGAUGCCUUGGCACUAGGAGCCGAUGAAGGACGUGAUAAGCUGCGAUAAGCUUCGGGGAGUUGCACGUAAACUUUGAUCCGAAGAUUUCCGAAUGAGGAAACUCACUUAGAGUAAUGUCUAAGUAUCAUUAAGUGAAUACAUAGCUUAAUGAGGGGAACUCAGGGAACUGAAACAUCUAAGUACCUGAAGGAAGAGAAAGAAAUUCGAUUCCGUAAGUAGCGGCGAGCGAACGCGGAUUAGCCCAAACCAAUAAAGU
Molecule: ribosomal RNA, 282 nt
Filed under: Clostridioides difficile
Lineage: Bacteria; Bacillati; Bacillota; Clostridia; Peptostreptococcales; Peptostreptococcaceae
Description: partial 23S ribosomal RNA
Rfam family: Bacterial large subunit ribosomal RNA
Source: RNAcentral